Picea glauca (white spruce) is the source of this 121-nucleotide non-coding RNA. NCBI's taxonomy places the organism in Eukaryota, Viridiplantae, Streptophyta, Pinopsida, Pinales, Pinaceae. The record is from Rfam.
ACAUGCCUACAACAUAACAUUAAUUCACUAGAUCCUGUUAGAACUCGACAGUUAAGAGCACUCAGGCUAGAGUAGUACUAGGAUGGGUGACCACUUGGGAAGUCCUAGUGUUUUACAUGCC